This 253-nucleotide ribosomal RNA is filed under the name uncultured bacterium. RNAcentral's name for it is "partial 16S ribosomal RNA". It matches the Rfam family "Bacterial small subunit ribosomal RNA", at positions 524 to 776 of the family's 1533-position model. The record is from RNAcentral.
GACAGAGGGUGCAAACGUUGUCCGGAAUUAUUGGGCGUAAAGCGCGCGCAGGCGGUCCUUUAAGUCUGAUGUGAAAGCCCACGGCUCAACCGUGGAGGGUCAUUGGAAACUGGGGGACUUGAGUGCAGAAGAGGAAAGCGGAAUUCCACGUGUAGCGGUGAAAUGCGUAGAGAUGUGGAGGAACACCAGUGGCGAAGGCGGCUUUCUGGUCUGUAACUGACGCUGAGGCGCGAAAGCGUGGGGAGCAAACAGG